UUGGUCUAUUUCAGUUUCACUUGUGUUUCCCCCCGUCUCCCAGUCCAUAAUACAUUUACAGUUUACAAUCCCCGAUCAUGGCCCAACAAAAGGUCAUCGGUUGACUAAAGGAACACAACUGUUCAAUGGAUUUAUAGUUGAAUGCGAUCAAACUACGUCUUUUCAAUCGUGGAUUGUAAAUUUAACCCCAUGGGCCUAGGGAAGGCCAUAUAACAAUACUUUCGACACAGUUAUUAUCUCCGCUGCCUCCACCAUGUUACACACAGUGCUCACUGCUGAUUCUAAAAUGCGCCACCUAGUCAAAACAGGACAUAUGUUCUUCUAGGAAUAGAUCUCUUUCCAAUAUUUCGUCAUUCCACUAUCGUCAUCACCUCAUCAUACUUUCAUUGACAUUACAGGCACACAUCCACAGAGCACUCUUCAAAUCAUCUACACAGUGGUUAUCCAACUAGGAUUAUAAAGGCACACAUUGACAUUGACCACUGUUCCAGUCAACGACACAGUCGCUAUCCAAGUAGCAUUAUAGAGCUGUCAUGCAACGCAACAACUGUGCUAUCUGCCAUCGCACAUCAACGAAGAAGUGCAGCCGCCCACAUUCCACCUCACGUCUGUCCGACCAGCUGCAAUCCUCGAGGACGCCCCACUGUACCACGAUUUCACUACGAUGUUUGACA
Long non-coding RNA from Lineus longissimus, 674 nucleotides. RefSeq lists it as uncharacterized. The transcript has 3 exons. The record is from RefSeq and is a predicted model, not a curated record. NCBI's taxonomy places the organism in Eukaryota, Metazoa, Nemertea, Pilidiophora, Heteronemertea, Lineidae.